RNAcentral lists this ribosomal RNA (301 nucleotides) under uncultured bacterium. Its description in RNAcentral is "partial 16S ribosomal RNA". It matches the Rfam family "Bacterial small subunit ribosomal RNA", at positions 509 to 807 of the family's 1533-position model. The record is from RNAcentral.
CAGUCGCCACGGGAAUACGGAGGGGGCUAGCGUUGUUCGGAAUUACUGGGCGUAAAGCGCACGUAGGCGGCUUUGUAAGUUAGAGGUGAAAGCCCGGAGCUCAACUCCGGAAUUGCCUUUAAGACUGCAGAGCUAGCAGGUGAGAGAGGUGAGUGGAAUUCCGAGUGUAGAGGUGAAAUUCGUAGAUAUUCGGAAGAACACCAGUGGCGAAGGCGGCUCACUGGCUCAUACUGGACGCUGAGGUGCGAAAGCGUGGGGAGCAAACAGGAUUAGAUACCCGCGUAGUCCCUGUCUCUUAUAC